CGAUCGGUGACGUAGUGACGUAGAGUCGUUCAAUACUCACGUUAGCGAAGCUUGAUCAUCGUUAGGAGAAGAAUAAUGCUUUGCCUAAUAAGAUAGUCGUUAUUUAUAUGUGCUCACGUUAAAACCAACUGGUAUCGCUACUUACACAGCUCCCUUUUUGGACGAAGAUGACCGAUUUGGCAGAGUCCCUGACCAAAGAGGGCUGGUACCUCACUGAUGAAGGCAUAGCAGAACUGAAAGGAUCUGCAGAGAAAGUAACACACAGUGACAUCAUUCGUAUUGCACUCAAUAGUGACCUCAGGCCUAUUGGGAGGAAAUAUCUACCACCUGAUAUCAAUAGUGGAAGGACUGAGAAUUUGGAAGGACCAUGUGUUCUCCAGGUGCAGAAGGUGAGGAACAUCUCUGCAUCUAAAGACCAUGAGGAGUCCCAGGGUGCGCCGCGAAUGCUGCGACUUCAAAUGACAGAUGGACAUACCACCUGUGUUGGAUUGGAGUUUAAACACCUGUCCAAGAUCAGUCUCAAUACUCCCCCUGGAACGAAGGUAAAGCUCCUUGGUACAGUCCAGGUUAAAAAUGGUCUUUUGCUGCUCGAUGACUCAAAAAUCUCUGUCCUUGGAGGAGAGGUUGAUCACAUGGUGGAGAAAUGGGAACUACAAAGGAGUCUGGCCAAACACAGCAGGAGUAACAUUGGAGCAGAAGGUGGACCUCCUCCCUUUGUGCCAUUCGGUCAGAAGUGUGCAAGGAGGGAUGAAGUAGACAGCAGAGAACUAGACCAGAGGAAGACCCUGCAGACUCAGAAUGUGAUCAAAAGUACUGAGGAGAAUGAUGACUUUGAGAAGCAGCGGACUGCAGCUAUCGCUGAGGUGGCCAAGAACAAGGAGGGUCCCCGCGCGUUUGGUGGUGGAGGAAAUGCAGGGAGUAAUUUAUCCAGCGCUGCUUCCUCCUUCCGAAACCGAGACUCGUACCAGCAGAGGAGACGAGAAGACAGGGUGGAACGAACGGACAGCAGACAAGAUGGAAACUAUCGAGAGCUGGUGGAUGAACGUGCUCUGAGAGACAUCAUGGAGAUGGGCUUUAACAGAGAGGCCGCCCGGCAGGCUUUGAUGGAUAAUAACAACAACCUUGAAGUAGCACUAAACUGCCUGCUGACUGGAUCUUCGGGCAGCAGACCUGGUCCUGUGGUAGCUGAAUCCAACAGGCCUCCACCCAGAGCCAGAGGACGGGGAAGAGGCAGGUCCAGAAAUGAAGACGAGGAGGAGGGAGCAGGAGGAAGGCCAUCCGGACCAAGUACUCUGUUUGACUUUCUGGAAUCCAAGAUGGGAGUUUUCUCCAUCGAUGGUCAGUGUCCUGAGCCAAAGAGCCAGGCUCCUCAGCGGCAUAAUGAGAGCAAAGCCAACUUCUCCAACUCAGAGUAUCACUCCAAAGACGCAUCUCACACUAAGUACUCAUCUCAUAAUGAGCAUAGGCAACAAAGGAACGACAGACCACCUCGCUUUCACAGGGACACUGAUUUCCCCAAACCUGGCCAGGAGCCUCUUUCCAACUGUACAACCUCCCAAACUUCAGCUCAAGGCCAGCAUUGGAAGGGCCAGGAGAGAUGGUCGCGAGGCGCACCAGACAGAUCCCACACUGACAGGAGAGAGAUGCGUGAUGAGCAGAAUUUUCCCUCAUCCUUCCCGACUACUUUCACACGUUCAAAAGAACCUCAGCAGCAGAUGGAUCCAAGUGGAUCUUACCACCAACGAUCCAGAAAUGGAGAUGGUGGUGGUGGGGGGAACAUUCCUGGACAGUCCCAUAGGAGAGGGCCAAAAGAUAAUGCACCCACAUCUAAACUUAGUAAUUCUGCAGGCAGUGAACUAGAUGGAAGAGGAAAUAAUAAACGUACGGACAGAAUUGAAGAACCCAACAACAGCAGGAGGAUGGGGAAAACUGAGCGGCCAAACUCAGGCCACUUUGACCGACAAAGGGAUAGUGGACCGGCAGACUUUAACUUUAGGGGAGGAAGCUCGGGAACGUCCCAAGAGGGGUUAUCACAGGAUUCUCGAAUCAUGAUGGGGGAUCCUACUCUUUUCCAAAAUGGAGAUGUGGAACACAAAAGAACUGGACCUAUCAAGCCAGCAAAUUCAUCUUGCCCCCCCAACAGGGAGCAGCCUCCAAAGAAAAACACCUCUAAUAACCCGGGAUCUAAAAGGAGGGCAGGACAGGGCAGGGGCCAAGGUCCUCGGGGGCCAGAGAAGAGUCACUUUGUGGAAAGGGCUUGGAAACCUGGAGACCAGUGCCUGGCACUGUACUGGGAAGACAGCAAGUUCUACCACGCCAGAAUAGAUGCUGUGCAUUCAUCAGGCUCCACGGCUGUGGUUGUUUUCAGUGAUUAUGGAAACUGUGAAGAAGUCCUGCUGCAUAACAUCAAACCUAUUCCCGCUGAUUUUUUGUAACAUCACAACCAUAUCAAAUGUACAAUGGCAGGAGGAAGAUGACGGUUACUACGACAGUUCAUUAGAGUUUCGUCGUGGGGGAGACGGACAGCCAAGACGCACAAGACCAACACAGCAGUAUUACCAGCCUCCCAGGGCACGGGAUUGAUGUGUCUGUGUUUACAGUGUGCUUGGCCCUCCUCCUCCUCCCCAUGACAGAGCUUUCAUCACUUUCUGCAACAAUCCAGAGUGCUUCCUGAAUUUCUACGCGUCCAAUUUGUCAGGACAUAACAUGACGUUUCAAAGGGCUCGGACAUGAUGCAAAACUGAACGGAAAAAAAAAAAAAAACUGACAUGACCACCUGUGGAUUUUGUUAAGAACAUAUCUACUGUAUAUGUUGUGAAGAUUUAUUAAAUGGAUGCAUAAAAAUAAACAGUUAUUAUGGUAUGUAGCGGA
RNA transcript from Labrus mixtus (cuckoo wrasse), 2871 nucleotides. It is a transcript of the gene named tudor domain containing 3, with no coding region annotated. The transcript is spliced from 14 exons. Lineage: Eukaryota; Metazoa; Chordata; Actinopteri; Labriformes; Labridae. The record is from RefSeq and is a predicted model, not a curated record.